UGGCUAACUCCUACGGGAGGCAGCAGUGGGGAAUAUUGGACAAUGGGCGAAAGCCUGAUCCAGCCAUGCCGCGUGUGUGAAGAAGGUCUUCGGAUUGUAAAGCACUUUAAGUUGGGAGGAAGGGCAUUAACCUAAUACGUUGGUGUCUUGACGUUACCGACAGAAUAAGCACCGGCUAACUCUGUGCCAGCAGCCGCGGUAAUACAGAGGGUGCAAGCGUUAAUCGGAAUUACUGGGCGUAAAGCGCGCGUAGGUGGUUUGUUAAGUUGAAUGUGCAAUCCCCGGGCUCAACCUGGGAACUGCAUCCAAAACUGGCAAGCGAGAGUAUGGUAGAGGGUAGUGGAAUUUCCUGUGUAGCGGUGAAAUGCGUAUAUAUAGGAAGGAACGCCAGUGGCGAAGGCGACUACCUGGACUGAGACUGACACUGAGGUGCGAAAGCGUGGGGAGCAAACAGGAUUAGAUACCCCUGUAGUCCAGCUGG
This 481-nucleotide ribosomal RNA is filed under the name uncultured bacterium. RNAcentral describes it as "bacterial SSU rRNA". It matches the Rfam family "Bacterial small subunit ribosomal RNA", at positions 329 to 803 of the family's 1533-position model. The record is from RNAcentral.